UAUAAGAGGUAUCACAAAAGUUUAAAAUAACAAAAUAUGCAAAAAUAUCUGCUGAACAUUUUAUUAGUUGACAACUUUUUUGUAUCU
Non-coding RNA from Caenorhabditis elegans, 87 nucleotides. Lineage: Eukaryota; Metazoa; Nematoda; Chromadorea; Rhabditida; Rhabditidae. The record is from Ensembl.